CAACAAAGAUUCCUUUUUUUUUUCUUUUUUUUUCUAAUUUUUUUGGGCGUGGAGCUUUUUAAGUUUGAUACUAUUGUAAAUUGUACUAUUUGUCAUAAUAUAUUAAAAACUUUAAGGAGAGUGUGACAUCUCUUGCCUAUGAGGUCAUGACUCAUCUUCGGUGCAUAAGGUAGGGUAGGGUGGGCUCACUUUUAAAGUGAGACCUAUUAUUU
Molecule: long non-coding RNA, 212 nt
Filed under: Lathyrus oleraceus (garden pea)
Lineage: Eukaryota; Viridiplantae; Streptophyta; Magnoliopsida; Fabales; Fabaceae
Description: Pisum sativum (pea) long non-coding RNA (PSAT_LNC024158)
Source: RNAcentral